CUGGCUCAGGACGAACGCUGGCGGCGUGCCUAAUACAUGCAAGUAGAACGCUGAAGAGAGGAGCUUGCUCUUCUUGGAUGAGUUGCGAACGGGUGAGUAACGCGUAGGUAACCUGCCUUGUAGCGGGGGAUAACUAUUGGAAACGAUAGCUAAUACCGCAUAACAAUGGAUGACACAUGUCAUUUAUUUGAAAGGGGCAAUUGCUCCACUACAAGAUGGACCUGCGUUGUAUUAGCUAGUAGGUGAGGUAACGGCUCACCUAGGCGACGAUACAUAGCCGACCUGAGAGGGUGAUCGGCCACACUGGGACUGAGACACGGCCCAGACUCCUACGGGAGGCAGCAGUAGGGAAUCUUCGGCAAUGGGGGCAACCCUGACCGAGCAACGCCGCGUGAGUGAAGAAGGUUUUCGGAUCGUAAAGCUCUGUUGUAAGUCAAGAACGAGUGUGAGAGUGGAAAGUUCACACUGUGACGGUAGCUUACCAGAAAGGGACGGCUAACUACGUGCCAGCAGCCGCGGUAAUACGUAGGUCCCGAGCGUUGUCCGGAUUUAUUGGGCGUAAAGCGAGCGCAGGCGGUUUGAUAAGUCUGAAGUUAAAGGCUGUGGCUCAACCAUAGUUCGCUUUGGAAACUGUCAAACUUGAGUGCAGAAGGGGAGAGUGGAAUUCCAUGUGUAGCGGUGAAAUGCGUAGAUAUAUGGAGGAACACCGGUGGCGAAAGCGGCUCUCUGGUCUGUAACUGACGCUGAGGCUCGAAAGCGUGGGGAGCGAACAGGAUUAGAUACCCUGGUAGUCCACGCCGUAAACGAUGAGUGCUAGGUGUUGGAUCCUUUCCGGGAUUCAGUGCCGCAGCUAACGCAUUAAGCACUCCGCCUGGGGAGUACGACCGCAAGGUUGAAACUCAAAGGAAUUGACGGGGGCCCGCACAAGCGGUGGAGCAUGUGGUUUAAUUCGAAGCAACGCGAAGAACCUUACCAGGUCUUGACAUCCCGAUGCUAUUUCUAGAGAUAGAAAGUUACUUCGGUACAUCGGUGACAGGUGGUGCAUGGUUGUCGUCAGCUCGUGUCGUGAGAUGUUGGGUUAAGUCCCGCAACGAGCGCAACCCCUAUUGUUAGUUGCCAUCAUUCUGUUGGGCACUCUAGCGAGACUGCCGGUAAUAAACCGGAGGAAGGUGGGGAUGACGUCAAAUCAUCAUGCCCCUUAUGACCUGGGCUACACACGUGCUACAAUGGUUGGUACAACGAGUUGCGAGUCGGUGACGGCAAGCUAAUCUCUUAAAGCCAAUCUCAGUUCGGAUUGUAGGCUGCAACUCGCCUACAUGAAGUCGGAAUCGCUAGUAAUCGCGGAUCAGCACGCCGCGGUGAAUACGUUCCCGGGCCUUGUACACACCGCCCGUCACACCACGAGAGUUUGUAUCACCCGAAGUCGGUGAGGUAACCUUUUGGAGCCAGCCGCCUAAGGUGGGAUAGAUGAUUGGGGUG
Molecule: ribosomal RNA, 1479 nt
Filed under: Streptococcus sp. ChDC B364
Lineage: Bacteria; Bacillati; Bacillota; Bacilli; Lactobacillales; Streptococcaceae
Description: bacterial SSU rRNA
Rfam family: Bacterial small subunit ribosomal RNA
Source: RNAcentral